UACGAAGGGGGCUAGCGUUGCUCGGAAUUACUGGGCGUAAAGGGCGCGUAGGCGGCCUGCUAAGUCGGAUGUGAAAUCCCUCGGCUCAACCGAGGAACUGCAUCCGAUACUGGCAGGCUGGAAUCCGGGAGAGGGAUGUGGAAUUCCAGGUGUAGCGGUGAAAUGCGUAGAUAUCUGGAGGAACACCGGUGGCGAAGGCGGCAUCCUGGACCGGUAUUGACGCUGAGGCGCGGAAAGC
RNAcentral lists this ribosomal RNA (238 nucleotides) under uncultured bacterium. RNAcentral describes it as "partial 16S ribosomal RNA". It matches the Rfam family "Bacterial small subunit ribosomal RNA", at positions 524 to 760 of the family's 1533-position model. The record is from RNAcentral.